RNAcentral lists this ribosomal RNA (492 nucleotides) under uncultured bacterium. Its description in RNAcentral is "partial 16S ribosomal RNA". It matches the Rfam family "Bacterial small subunit ribosomal RNA", at positions 29 to 507 of the family's 1533-position model. The record is from RNAcentral.
AGUGAACGCUGGCGGUAGGCCUAACACAUGCAAGUCGAACGGCAGCACAGUAAGAGCUUGCUCUUACGGGUGGCGAGUGGCGGACGGGUGAGGAAUACAUCGGAAUCUACUUUUUCGUGGGGGAUAACGUAGGGAAACUUACGCUAAUACCGCAUACGACCUACGGGUGAAAGCAGGGGAUCUUCGGACCUUGCGCGAUUGAAUGAGCCGAUGUCGGAUUAGCUAGUUGGCGGGGUAAAGGCCCACCAAGGCGACGAUCGGUAGCUGGCCUGAGAGGAUGAUCAGCCAGACGGGAACUGAGACACGGUCCAGACUCCGACGGGAGGAAGCAGUGGGGAAUAUUGGACAAUGGGCGAAAGCCUGAUCCAGCCAUACCGCGUGGGUGAAGAAGGCCUUCGGGUUGUAAAGCCCUUUUGUUGGGAAAGAAAAGCAGCAGGUUAAUACCCCGCUGUUCUGACGGUACCCAAAGAAUAAGCACCGGCUAACUUCGUG